CCAGCUGCAAGCAAAGACCCUGAGACA
Molecule: non-coding RNA, 27 nt
Filed under: Cricetulus griseus (Chinese hamster)
Lineage: Eukaryota; Metazoa; Chordata; Mammalia; Rodentia; Cricetidae
Source: RNAcentral